UGUUUCGAUCUCAGUUAGCUACACGUACACCUACGAAUGGCGAACAAAAUAGCUUGUUUUCUCGGUUAUUUGACCAUACUCAGCACAAUAUUGACAAGACCAAGUCUUUGUGAUCAAUCACUCGGAACUACUCCUUCGUGCACAACUGUCAUUGCAAGCGUUGCUGUUUGUCUACCGUAUAUUACUUCACAGGGAUCUACUUCGCCUUCUAGGCCUUGUUGCGAUGGAAUUAAGCGUGUGGCAACCAUGGCUAACACUCAUGAAAACGCGAUGAGCAUCUGCAAUUGCUUGAAGUCGAAUUUGGCUGAUUUUCAGUACAAUCCUUCUCUUGUUGCUGCACUGCCUAAGAAAUGUUUUGUCAGUAUCAGUCUCCCUCCUAUUUCCAAUGAUACCGAUUGUUCCAACCUAUACUUUCAGCUAGCAAAACCAGCAAACAACUCCAGCCAACAGUCAUUUGCCAUACAGGUUGGAGCCAGGGCUGGUCUCUAGGCUAAGAACCAAUAAUUGGAUCAGCCUGUUACAGCCUUAUGCUGGUCCAACUACUUGAUGGACUAGUCCUGGAUCAGUAUUGGGCUAUUGGCGAUCCAACAAACUCAACACGUUUAACUUCACUUGUUUAGAGUGUGAAUUCAUGUGCAGAUUUUGCAGGUGAUACAAUAAUACAUGCUCAACUGUUCAGAGAUUUCAUCAAUAUAUGAAAGAAAUAAAGCAUUAUUAGAUCUAAGUAGCUAUUUUACUUUAAAAUA
Molecule: RNA transcript, 746 nt
Organism: Amaranthus tricolor (Joseph's coat)
Lineage: Eukaryota; Viridiplantae; Streptophyta; Magnoliopsida; Caryophyllales; Amaranthaceae
Gene name: non-specific lipid-transfer protein 2-like
Exons: 3
Source: RefSeq, a predicted model, not a curated record